Molecule: long non-coding RNA, 711 nt
Organism: Hyla sarda
Lineage: Eukaryota; Metazoa; Chordata; Amphibia; Anura; Hylidae
Exons: 3
Source: RefSeq, a predicted model, not a curated record
GCAGCUGUGACGUCAGUAAGCUCUGCCCAUGUCCCAAGCCGGCUGCCAGGACUGGAGCUAAUGGAGGAAAUUACCGAAGAUCCACACCACGUAAUGGGACAAGGAGAGUACAGUUGUCAUCAGUGUCACCUGCACUGUUGGUACCGACAGGUUAGUGCAGGUGACACUGGUGACAGAUUUCCUUUAAAGAGCAUUGCUAUGAAGAGUUACACAUCUGUUUAUGAAUCUGUAUGAGGUUUGGCUUAUUGCAUGGGAGGCAUAGAGGAGGCGGGGUUUGCCGCAGUGUUCAGCAGUGGAGAAUGAAGAGCCUCUGAAGAGACCCUGGAGGAGUCAUGGAGUGUGCAGGCAGGAUACUGAAGAGCGCCUGUCUUUAGAUGUCGGAGGAUGAGAUGUUCCUGUUGUCCCCGUUGGGACGUUGUUUCUUCUGUUCGGUUCUUCGGAAGACGACAACCCCGUGGCUGCUCUUGCAACGGCGCUCCGGUUCCAGAGAUCCGUCGUCAGGAUGUGGAGUCAAGUUGGAGUCUAGGUUCGGCUUUCCUGUGUCGGCUAUGACGUCGGGUCAAGAAAGAGAAGGAGUUAUGGCACAGCAGUCCCCUUUAUAGAAGUCAUCGGAUAAUGAUUGGCUACUAGUCCUCAAAGGGGCUGCUGGGAGAUGUAGUUUGCAAAAUGUUUUUCUUUCAAUACAUUAACCUGAAAGUUUAAUUUUCUGCU